Molecule: long non-coding RNA, 230 nt
Organism: Rhinichthys klamathensis goyatoka
Lineage: Eukaryota; Metazoa; Chordata; Actinopteri; Cypriniformes; Leuciscidae
Exons: 2
Source: RefSeq, a predicted model, not a curated record
UCACCUGGGGUCUCAUUUAUAAAGCGUGUGUACGCACAAAACGGGGCUGGAAAUGUACGUACGCCAGUUUCCACGCAAAGGUUGUGAUCUAUAAAAAACAAACUUGACGGGAGAAUGUGCGCACCUUUAAGCAAACUUUGAGCCGUGCGUACGCACAUUCUGGAGACAAAGGGAAUUGGCGACACAGAUGAAAAACUUUCUCUGAAAUGUAUUUUACACUAUUUGAUUUA